GAUGAACGCUGGCGGCGUGCCUAAUACAUGCAAGUCGAGCGAACAGACGAGAAGCUUGCUCCUCUGACGUUAGCGGCGGACGGGUGAGUAACACGUGGAUAACCUACCUAUAAGACUGGGAUAACUUCGGGAAACCGGAGCUAAUACCGGAUAAUAUAUUGAACCGCAUGGUUCAAUAGUGAAAGACGGUUUUGCUGUCACUUAUAGAUGGAUCCGCGCCGCAUUAGCUAGUUGGUAAGGUAACGGCUUACCAAGGCAACGAUGCGUAGCCGACCUGAGAGGGGGAUCGCCAAAACGGGAACGGGAACACGGUCAAGACCCCUAGGGAAGGCAGAAGAAGGGAAUUUCCGGCAAGGGGCGAAAGCCUGACGGGGAAACGCGGCGGGGGGGAGGAAGGUCUUCGGAUCGUAAAACUCUGUAAUAAGGAAAGAAAAAAGGUGUAAGUAACGAUGAACGUCUGGACGGUACCAAACCAGAAAGCAACGGCUAACUACGU
RNAcentral lists this ribosomal RNA (496 nucleotides) under uncultured bacterium. RNAcentral describes it as "partial 16S ribosomal RNA". It matches the Rfam family "Bacterial small subunit ribosomal RNA", at positions 28 to 506 of the family's 1533-position model. The record is from RNAcentral.